CUGCCUGAAGAAUAUUGGAAUUUCAAAGUUUCGACAGUUUUAAAUUUGCAUUGGAACAUUAAAAAAAUUCAGAAGCUUCUUGGAGAAUUCG
This is a non-coding RNA of Caenorhabditis elegans, 91 nucleotides long. Lineage: Eukaryota; Metazoa; Nematoda; Chromadorea; Rhabditida; Rhabditidae. The record is from Ensembl.